CACGGGGUAGACUAAAUAAGUCUGUGGGCUCAUAACCUGAAAAUAUGCUGAAAGCAUUCCUGUGA
RNAcentral lists this transfer RNA (65 nucleotides) under Anadara broughtonii. RNAcentral's name for it is "Scapharca broughtonii tRNA-Met". The record is from RNAcentral. Lineage: Eukaryota; Metazoa; Mollusca; Bivalvia; Arcoida; Arcidae. RNAcentral also lists the same sequence under 1 other name.